This is a long non-coding RNA of Venturia canescens, 1252 nucleotides long. RefSeq lists it as uncharacterized. The record is from RefSeq and is a predicted model, not a curated record. The transcript is spliced from 5 exons. NCBI's taxonomy places the organism in Eukaryota, Metazoa, Arthropoda, Insecta, Hymenoptera, Ichneumonidae.
UGCCCGUUUCACCCCAAUUGCUAAUCGUAUGCACACGAGCCACCGCACGACGCACACACUCGAACGUACGGAUUCGAUGCGUAUCGCAUCCUGAGGAGUCGUAAAACACUGAAAUUGGAUGUUCGUCGUGUACAAUAACGGAGAAUGCAGGAUUUGAGGAGUCUUUUGAAAAAAUGGUCACGAAUUGAGCCUCCAGGCACUGGACAAUGGGACGCGCGGGAAGAGGAUGAGAGAGAAAGAGAGCACGAGUGAUGUCCCCAUUCAUUGCACAAGCUGUCCAACAAUCAACGCAGAACUCUCAGAAACUCCGUGGAUUAUGAAAUUCUCCAACGAAAGCACCAGGCACGCGUUUCUCGAUCGAGAUUCAUUGGAUUUCUGAGGAUGUUCCAGGGUUUGUUCAUAACUGCGAGUGAGCUGAACCUCAACCAACUUUUAGGGCCACAUUUAACGAAAUUUUUAUUUAAAAAAACUCCAAUCGAAGUAUCGUGGCAUAAAAUCGUCAGGGGCCUCGUGAAUGACGAUGUGAAAGAAAUAGAAAAGACCCAGGUCCUCGGAUCAGACGAGCUCGGAUCCGAAUGGGGAAAGCGCAGAAGAGCACAUGCAAAGGAAAACGAACACGAGAGUCAGGACUGAGGAUAAAUCUAUGUGCAAGCAGAGGCCAGCAUAAGGGUGGAUUUGAAAACGAGGAUCCACAGCUGACCGAUCAAGAGAACUAUGGCGAUGACAAUGAGGAUGAAGACAGCCUCAAACGCAGAGCUUCGGGGACGACCCACGUGAACAUAACCAGCGAAGCCAUACGACCCCUGCACAGAUUGUGUAACACGUGUCUAUUACGACUGGGUCGUCAGAAAGGGCAAAAUAAUGAGAGAAUCCAAAUUUCUUCGUUUGCCUCAGUUUCGUCUCGCUAUUUUUAUGGAACGUGGAUGACGCUUUGGUGCGGAAUGUGAAUUUCCGAGGAAAUCGGAGAAAUAAAAUGGUUGAAACUACCGUAGAAAGAAAAGCUGAUUAAAUAAAACAACGAAAAAGUUCCGAGUGCCGAGUGGAGUCACGUAUCGGGGGAUGCUUUGGACACCUUGGAAAAUGAGACCAGCGGCACGUGAGUGUGUGGAGAAGUACAAAGCCGAAAGCGGAAGAGUCGAAAAAUGUUCGGGUUUAUUCGAAACUCAUCCGGAUCGCUGACGCGUGAGAUACGGUGGUGCGAGCGUCGGUAGUUUUUGUAGAGAAAGUAUUUUUUUGUUACGUUUAGGUACGG